Molecule: transfer RNA, 77 nt
Filed under: Vitreoscilla sp.
Lineage: Bacteria; Pseudomonadati; Pseudomonadota; Betaproteobacteria; Neisseriales; Neisseriaceae
Also listed under: 3471 other names
Description: tRNA-Asp
Rfam family: tRNA
About the family: Transfer RNA (tRNA) molecules are approximately 80 nucleotides in length.
Source: RNAcentral
GGAGUGGUAGUUCAGUUGGUUAGAAUACCGGCCUGUCACGCCGGGGGUCGCGGGUUCGAGUCCCGUCCACUCCGCCA